Molecule: non-coding RNA, 1597 nt
Organism: Styela clava
Lineage: Eukaryota; Metazoa; Chordata; Ascidiacea; Stolidobranchia; Styelidae
Source: RefSeq, a predicted model, not a curated record
AAGCUGCGACAAAAAUGGCGAGCACGCCAGGAUCAAUAAUUUGUUCGAAUUAUUGAUAUAACGAAACGAAAAUGAACUUUUUAUUGGCACCUUCACGAGGGGGUAAUUUUGACAAAUUUAUCAGAAGAUUUCAGUAUUCGAUGCAAUAAGACAAAAGCAAAUUCUUUAUUGGCAAUUUGUAAUUUAACUUCUGGACAGUGUCUCAUCAUGGCGUCCACCUGUUUUACUGCAGGAGACCUCUAUAUUCCGAAAGAGGAACGUGUGAAUGAUUUGAUAAAUCAUAUUAUCAGCGAGGUUGGUGAAUAUGUUCAUAUUAAUGGUCGUAUGGGACGUUGUGGAAAUUCGGAAAUGUAUCAAAUUGGUCCGGUCGUUCGUGAAGGUUCUCGUGCAUGCACAGCAGGAAGUUCCUGACUGCAUGGGUAAUGGCAUGCUACAUGAUAUUAAUGGUCGUAUGGAUACCUCGUAGUAUUGCUUUGUCAAAGGUAGCAAAUUUAUGGUUCGGUCCGCGCAUGCACAGCAAGUAGUUCCUGACUGCAUGGUCCGUAGCAUAAUAUGAUGAAGGUGCUAUGGAUACCAGUUUUGAUCCAAAUGAUGGGAAGUUUGGUACUCGGGACAAAAGAAGAACGAGCGGUGUUGAAUAUAGUCGUGCCAAUGGAGACACUCUACUAGAUCACGUCGAAAGCAGAGUAGCUUCUACGUCAAACCUCAAUAGAGAGGGCGGUGGCUUCGAUGAUGAUGACAAUUGGGAGUAAAACCUGCAUCUAUUGAUAUGCAUAUUCCGAUGUAAAUAGAUUUUUGAGCGAUGUCGAAAUUCAGACAUAUCAUGAGCAUAUUUAUGUUAUCAUGAACAGUUUUAUGAUAUUUUAAUGGGGGCAUGUUUCAGCCCUUUGACUACGUUAUGGUCGCUUCAUGAAUAAGUGUAUAAUUUGAGUUGUGUUAAGGUGUUUUAACCAACUUUUCGUGACCUAAAAUGACUGCGAUUUUGAUUCAACUGGUUUUAAAAGACUUUUUGCUCGUAAGUGUUCAGAUUUCGAAUUCAUAAGUAGUCUUAUAUAUGUGUACAGCCCUAGUUUAUUGCUUCGUUUUGAGGAGGAUUUUUGUGUUUGGGUCACUCUUGUCUGUACCUCCGUUUGUACAUUUUUAUGUGUUUAUCAAGCAUGGUAGGGAGGGCAUAUGUGUAUAGCACUAGUUUUUUAUUUUGUUUGUAGUCCGAUCUCUGAUAUAGUGAGACUUUAGAAUUUGAUUUUCAGUAUUAGUUUUGAUAUUUGCGUGUUCGACAUGACCACGCAAGAUCAUGACAUUUUAAGGGGGGGGGGGGGACUGUGUGACAGUAUUUUUCCGCGUGUUCAUGAUUCUUUGUUUUCCUGUAUUUGUAAUUUGUUAUUGCUGUGUUAAGUAAUGAUUUUCUAUUGCCUCGUUGUUGUGUUGCGUAAUUAUUAACACCGAAUGUGAGAAUGAGAAGGCAUUGUCUUCCACGUUCGGGGCGGUGACACACAGUCGAGUUUGGUGUUUCUUGUGUUGAGUUUGUGUUGUAUUCACCCAAAGUUGAAAUAUUGCUGUUUUUAAAAUAAGAAUAAAGCCGCAGUCGAGCCUCGGA